RNAcentral lists this long non-coding RNA (812 nucleotides) under Fukomys damarensis (Damara mole-rat). Its description in RNAcentral is "lncRNA (ENSFDAG00000027454.1)". The record is from RNAcentral. Lineage: Eukaryota; Metazoa; Chordata; Mammalia; Rodentia; Bathyergidae.
AUUUUGCCUACAACCGUUCUGUCUAAAUUUGUUCUUAACCUAAAUUCAUAAAACAGAUUCUUCUAUGGGUUUCAGUGAUAGCUUGGGUAGGGGGUGAUUUUUGUUAAAGGUACUUGAAUUCAAGAAAAAGCAAAGCCAUUCACUAAAUGGUUUUCGAAGAAUUAAUGCUCUUGUUAAACUGCCUGAGUUAUUGCCAAGAAUAAUGCAAAUCCUGAGUUACCUCUCUGGAUACAGUGUGUUUAUUUUCUGUGGGAGAGACCACUCAUUCACUCAUUCCUUUAGUCAUUCAUUUAACAGUAUUUACUGGGCUCCUAUUGUGCAUUUGGCACUGAAAAUGUUACUAGGAUACAGUGGUUAAGAGUCCAUGCAAACCCUCCUGUGGUGCAGUUUAGAGUCCUUCUGGGAAAACCUGCAUGAAGCAAAUACCAACACAAGUAAUGAUUUAAUGACUGCUGUGCUAAGUACUGUGGCGAGGUGCAUACUGCGCCAGGAGCAAAAGCUUCCACCAUUAACUGUUUCUUCUAAAACACAAGAAAAGAAAGCGUCCAACAUGAAGAGCAACUGGUUCCAACUGAUAUCAUCAAAUCAAGUACUGUCUGCUUUUUUUUCCCUGUCUAGUUGCCCAAAUAUAGGUACAAACCUAAUUUCCCAAUCUCUGCAACUAUAAUAAUUCCACACACUUAAUCAUUUUGCAAGUAGAAACUCUAAACUCAUAAGCAUAAUGUGAAUUCAGCAAGAAUUUGUUAACAAGAACAACAAAGUUAUCAUGGGGUUUACAACUAGGUUACAAAGAAAAGUUGUGGGUCUUGCAG